Caenorhabditis japonica is the source of this 47-nucleotide non-coding RNA. NCBI's taxonomy places the organism in Eukaryota, Metazoa, Nematoda, Chromadorea, Rhabditida, Rhabditidae. The record is from Rfam.
CCAACGGCCCUCUUUAGGGCCACAAAUUUCUCAGGAAAUCCAGAAGU